RNAcentral lists this ribosomal RNA (508 nucleotides) under uncultured bacterium. RNAcentral describes it as "partial 16S ribosomal RNA". It matches the Rfam family "Bacterial small subunit ribosomal RNA", at positions 28 to 507 of the family's 1533-position model. The record is from RNAcentral.
GACGAACGCUGGCGGCGUGCCUAAUACAUGCAAGUCGAGCGCAGGAAGUCAUCCGAACCCUUCGGGGGGACGUUGACGGAAUGAGCGGCGGACGGGUGAGUAACACGUAAAGAACCUGCCCUCAGGUCUGGGAUAACCACGAGAAAUCGGGGCUAAUACCGGAUGGGUCAUCGGACCGCAUGGUCCGAGGAUGAAAGGCGCUCCGGCGUCGCCUGGGGAUGGCUUUGCGGUGCAUUUGCUAGUUGGUGGGGUAAUGGCCCACCAAGGCGACGAUGCAUAGCCGACCUGAGAGGGUGAUCGGCCACACUGGGACUGAGACACGGCCCAGACUCCUACGGGAGGCAGCAGUAGGGAAUCUUCCACAAUGGGCGAAAGUCUGAUGGAGCAACGCCGCGUGAACGAUGAAGGCCCUCGGGUCGUAAAGUUCUGUUGUAAGGGAAGAACAAGUGCCGCAGGCAAUGGCGGCACCUUGACGGUACCUUGAGAGAAAGCCACGGCUAACUACGUG